RNAcentral lists this ribosomal RNA (492 nucleotides) under uncultured bacterium. RNAcentral describes it as "partial 16S ribosomal RNA". It matches the Rfam family "Bacterial small subunit ribosomal RNA", at positions 29 to 507 of the family's 1533-position model. The record is from RNAcentral.
AGUGAACGCUGGCGGUAGGCUUAACACAUGCAAGUCGAACGGCAGCGCGGUAAGCGCUUGGGCUUCCGGUUGGCAACGGGCGGACAAGGGAGCAGAACAUCCCCAUCUACUGUUUCGUAGGGCAUAACGGAGGGAAUCAUACGCCAAUCCCGCUUCCGGCGUAAGGGGGAGAGCGUGAGACCUUCCGACCUUGCGGGAUUGGAUGAGCGGAUGUCGGAUUAGCUAGUUGGCGGGGUAACGGCCCACCAAGGCGACGAUCCGUAGCUGGUUUGAGAGGACGACCAGCCACACUGGGACUGAGACACGGCCCAGACUCCUACGGGAGGCAGCAGUGGGGAAUUUUGGACAAUGGGGGCAACCCUGAUCCAGCCAUCCCGCGUGUGCGAUGAAGGCCUUCGGGUUGUAAAGCACUUUUGGCAGGAAAGAAACGUCGCGGGCUAAUACCCCGUGGAACUGACGGUACCUGAAGAAUAAGCACCGGCUAACUACGUG